RNAcentral lists this ribosomal RNA (440 nucleotides) under uncultured bacterium. Its description in RNAcentral is "bacterial SSU rRNA". It matches the Rfam family "Bacterial small subunit ribosomal RNA", at positions 338 to 776 of the family's 1533-position model. The record is from RNAcentral.
CCUACGGGUGGCAGCAGUAGGGAAUAUUGGUCAAUGGGCGAGAGCCUGAACCAGCCACGCCGCGUGCAGGAAGAAGGCGUUCUGCGUUGUAAACUGCUUUUAUAGGGGAAGAAAAAGAGGAUGCGUCCUCAACUGACGGUACCCUAUGAAUAAGCACCGGCUAACUCCGUGCCAGCAGCCGCGGUAAUACGGAGGGUGCAAGCGUUGUCCGGAUUUAUUGGGUUUAAAGGGUGCGUAGGCGGGUUAGUAAGUCAGUGGUGAAAGCCGGCAGCUCAACUGUCGAACUGCCAUUGAUACUGUUAACCUUGAGUAUAGUUGAGGUAGGCGGAAUGGAAGGUGUAGCGGUGAAAUGCAUAGAUAUCUUCCAGAACACCGAUAGCGUAGGCAGCUUACUAAGCUAUAACUGACGCUGAGGCACGAAAGCGUGGGGAGCGAACAGG